This 847-nucleotide ribosomal RNA is filed under the name uncultured archaeon. RNAcentral describes it as "bacterial SSU rRNA". It matches the Rfam family "Archaeal small subunit ribosomal RNA", at positions 415 to 1261 of the family's 1478-position model. The record is from RNAcentral.
AGUUGUAGAAUCACUGGUGAAUAAGGGGUGGGCAAGUUCUGGUGUCAGCCGCCGCGGUAAAACCAGCACCUCGAGUGGUCAGGAGGUUUAUUGGGCCUAAAGCAUCCGUAGCCGGUUGCAUAAGUUUUCGGUUAAAUCUAUGCGCUUAACGUAUAGGCCGCCGAAAAUACUGUGCAGCUAGGGAGUGGGAGAGGUACACGGUACUCGAUAGGAAGGGGUAAAAUCCUUUGAUCUAUUGAUGACCACCUGUGGCGAAGGCGGUGUACCAGAACACGUUCGACGGUGAGGGAUGAAAGCUGGGGGAGCAAACCGGAUUAGAUACCCGGGUAGUCCCAGCUGUAAACGAUGCAGACUCGGUGAUGCAUUGGCUUGUGGCCAAUGCAGUGCCGCAGGGAAGCCGUUAAGUCUGCCGCCUGGGAAGUACGUACGCAAGUAUGAAACUUAAAGGAAUUGGCGGGGGAGCACCACAAGGGGUGAAGCCUGCGGUUCAAUUGGAGUCAACGCCAGAAAUCUUACCUGGGGAGACAGCAGAAUGAAGGUCAAGCUGAAGACUUUACCAGACACGCUGAGAGGUGGUGCAUGGCCGUCGCCAGCUCGUGCCGUGAGAUGUCCUGUUAAGUCAGGUAACGAGCGAGACCCCUGCGUCUAGUUGCUACCAUUACUCUCUGGAGCAGUGGAGCGAAUUAGACGGACCGCCACAGUUAAUGUGGAGGAAGGAAGGGGCCACGGCAGGUCAGUAUGCCCCGAAACCCUAGGGCUACACGCGGGCUGCAAUGGUAUUGACAUGUGUUCCGAAUCCGAAAGGAGGAGGCAAUCAUCAAACAAUAUCUCAGUUAUGACUGAGGGC